This 271-nucleotide ribosomal RNA is filed under the name uncultured archaeon. RNAcentral's name for it is "partial 16S ribosomal RNA". It matches the Rfam family "Archaeal small subunit ribosomal RNA", at positions 477 to 747 of the family's 1478-position model. The record is from RNAcentral.
CAGCGCCACAAGUGGCAAUCGUUUUUAUUGGGCCUAAAGCGUUCGUAGCCGGUUUGGUAAGUUCUAAGUGAAAUCGUUCUGCCUAACAGAACGGCGUGCUUGGAAGACUGCUAAGCUUGGGACCGGGAGGCGUCAGAGGUAUUUUGGGGGGAGCGGUAAAAUGCUAUAAUCCCCGAAGGACCGCCUGUGGCGAAGGCGUCUGACGAGAACGGGUCCGACGGUGAGGGACGAAAGCCAGGGGAGCAAAUCGGAUUAGAUACCCGAGUAGUCC